Molecule: non-coding RNA, 112 nt
Organism: Podospora fimiseda
Lineage: Eukaryota; Fungi; Ascomycota; Sordariomycetes; Sordariales; Podosporaceae
Source: the annotation of a GenBank genome assembly
GUCCCCGUAGCGUAGUGGUCAGCGUUUGUCAGCUUUAUCUCCAGCGUAUAUAUUUAUCCAGCGAUUUGAUUCAAGGCAGUGAAAGACGUCGGUUCGAAUCCGACCGGGGACA